GUUUCUUUUAAAUUCUGUAGCAACUUUUGUGAUUUUUCAGUGUUAACAGUGGUAUUUUUUGCCAACAAUAGUACAUGAAGGAAUCUUCUAGAAAUCUAGAUUCUAUGUUCCAUGAGCCAUUUUGUAAAUGGUUUUAGAAUCAAGGAGCACAGCAACUCUGGAUCUCCACUUUUCUUCCAAAUAAGAGGGACUUCUAAUAGUAAAUAUGAAGGAGGAUAAUACUCAGAAAUAGGAAUAUAACUUGAGGUGGAGAUUUCUGGACAGGAGAUCUUGUGAAAAUGCUUCAGGCAAUUUGAUGAGCCAUCUUCUGGAGCCUCUGGUAGCUUUGCCAUCAGUGUCUGUGGCCUGAGACGCACACCAGGAUUAGAUCUUGGAGCUUCUGAUGCUGGAGCAGUUGCUGAUGAUUCUGCCAGGAUAGGUGCUGAAUGGGGUUUGAGAGCAGCAUCCAGACAGUGGGGAGGAGGUGGUGGUUCUAUUGGAUGAUUUAGAGAAAGAGUUUAUUAACUGAGACAGCAAGUGGGAAGGGGAAGCUUGAAAUUUGUUGUGGGAAGUUAGGGAAUUGAAUUUUCAGGGAUAAUGAGCGCAAUGAUGGAAGAUGAGAUGCUUAAAUUACAUCGUUAAUGGACGUAGCUGGAGGCCCUGAUUUUGGCUUUUAUAUGUACUGUUCAGCUGACCACUCCCACUGGAUUUAAAUAAUGUGUGUGCAAAUGCACCCUACAUAAAUAAUCAAGAAGUAUAAGAUUUUAAGGUAGGGUUAUAUUGUUGGAGCUGGAAAAUGUCAGGUGACAAGGGUUUCCUUUUGUGCAGCAUGAACUGAUGAAGAACUAAGGAUGAAGAUGACCUCUAAUUCUACAUCCACUUAUACUUGUCAAGAGAUUAUUACUAUUAUUAUUAUUUUUGAGGAAGAUUAGCCCUGAGCUAACUACUGCCAAUCCUCCUCUUUUUUUGCUGAGGAAGCCUGGCCCUGAGCUAACAUCCAUGCCCAUCUUCCUCUACUUUAUACGUGGGACGCCUGCCACAGCAUGGCUUUUGCCAAGCGGUGCCGUGUCUGCACCUGGCGUUGGAGCUGGCGAACCCCGGGCUACAGAGAAGCGGAAGGUGCGCACUUAACUGCUGCGCCACCAGCCGUCCCCUGAAGAGAUUAUUAAACCAUAUGCUAUUAAACAAAUACUGUUUGAGAACCUGUGUCUGCUGGAUGCAAUGGGAAAUACAAAGAAAUAAAUAUGUCUUACUCGAAGGAGUGUUGCAAUUUAAUUGGCAAAUGAAAACGUGAAAAGAAGUUAAAUAAGUUGUAAAAGAGUUAAAAGAGUUAAAAAGAAGAUACAGGAAACUAAGAAAGAUGAUGCAUUAUCAAUUGCAAAAUGAAUGCAGCAGGCCAUAGUGUUUGAGCUCAGAGGAGCGUGAUAACAAGUUGAUUGGUUUGGGAAGGCUUACAAAUAAUGGUAGGACUCGAACUGCACCUUGAAGGAUGUGAAUCUUUGUCUAGGUGGAGAAGGCUGGAGAGAUCUUAACAAGCAGAAGAAAAGGUCUGAGCUCCGGGUAUGUGCUGGAGGUGGAGGAUUCAUAUAGAGAAGAAACUUAAGAGCCUUAUCGUGAAAGGCCCAAGAAGACAGGCUUAGGACUUCAGACUUCAUCUUUUAGGCCAGGUGUCAGCAAGUUUUCUGUAAAUAUCUUAGGCUUUGCAGGCCAUGUAGUCUCUGUCACAACUCCUCAACCCUGCCAUUGUAGCAAGAAAGCGACUGUAGACAACACAUAAACAAACGAGUGUGUCUGAGUUCCAAUGGGCCAUAGUUUUCUGAUCUGUCUUAGACAAUGGGGAACAUUAUUCCUUUCUGCUCAGGAGAGUGGCAAGGUGAAAGAAAUGUUUUCCAAAGUGAUCUGUGAAGUGAUAUAGCAUCGGAGGAGUGAGGAUAAUAAUAAUAAGGAGCCAGGAAGACGGGUUCAAAUUUGUUCCUUUUAAUGAGUCUUUGUUCUGUUUUGAGUGUUGGCACUCUUUUUUAUUUUUAAUUGCAUUGAUUAUACGAGUAAUUCAACCUGGUAGGUGAGGAAUAAAUAAACACACUUGGCAGAAGUUACAACUUUUUAAAUUGGAAGGAAUCUUAAGAGAGCCUUUAGUAAAUCCCGUCAAUUUCUGGAUGAAGAAUCAGUCCAGAGAGGGUACGGGGAUUUCCUGCGCUCACACCACUAAUACACGGGAACCUGCAUCUUAAGUCGUGAAUUCAGACUUAAAUUUGGAUUUAAAAUCAGAUUAAGAGACGGUUUAUGGAAUUCAAGGCGGAGUAUGACAGGAUAACAUAUGAUAACUAACUAUAGGGGAGUAAACAAGGGAAAGAUAUCCAUAGUAUCAUUAAAGAUUCCAGUCUUGGGGCUGGUUCCAUGGCUGAAGGGUUAAGUUUGCACACUCCACUUUGGUGGCCCAGGGUUUCGCUGGUUCAGAUCCUGGGUGCGGACAUGGCAUCACUCAUCAGGCCAUGCUGAGGUGGUGUACCACACAGCACAACUAGAGGCACUCACAACUAGAAUAUACAACUAUGUAGUGGGGGGCUUUGGGGAGAAGAAGGGGGAAAAAGAGAAGAUUGGCAACAGUUGUUACCUCGGGUGCCGAUCUUUAAAAAAAAAAGAUUCCAGUCUUGGUGACUGAGAAAUCAGUUGAUCCCUUUGUUAGAAAUGGAGAAGCCAAGAGGAAAAGCAUCUGUUAAGGGUUGAAUUGUGUCCCCCUAAAAGGUGAGCCCUAAUUCAAAAUGGCUGGUGUCCUUAUAAGAAAGCAAAACAGAAAUAGAGACACAUACGCACAGGGAGAGCACCAUGGGAUGACAGAGGCAAUGAUUGGAGCAAUGCUGAUGAGUUUACAAGCCAAGGAAUGCCAAUGAUUGCUAGCCAAAUCAAAAGCUAAAAGAAAGGUAUAGAGCACAUUCUCCCUCAGAACCUCCAGAGAGAGCAUGGCCCUGAAAACACCUUGAUAUUGGACUUCUGCCCUCCAGAACGGUGAGGAAUAAAUUUCUGUUGUUUUAAGCCCCCCAGUUGUUGGCACCUUGGCAGCCAUCGGAAAGUAAUACAGCAACUUUUGUUGGGGAGAGGGAAACAGUGAAUUUACAGAGCCAUAUUAUUUGUAAAUAUAUAAAUAGGUGUGUCAGGAAUGACAAUGGAAAUGUAGGAUUAUAUUUGCACAGAGGGCCUUGAGAAUGAUGUGCUUUGGCAAUUAUCUCUUUGGUGGUUCAAAACCAACCUUUGAAGUCGAUUUUAAAGAGAAAAUGUGUAAAAAGAGAAUUAAAGGUAAAGGACUUUGGGUUUCAGAAAAAUCGGAAAAGUAGUGGCCACUGACAUGUGAAAAUAUCAAGGCUGAACAUUUUGUAAAAGCAACAUGAGGACCAUUUCAAAAAGGAAGUAGCCAAUAGCGUGGCGUGAUUGAAGACGAUCUGAGGAAACGGACUGAAGAAAAAGUAUGACUCUAUCCAGAAAUGCUAGUAGUUCUUUGCAUUCACACAAUGCUUUACAAUUUAUAAUGCAUUUUUACAUUCAUUUUCUUAUUUAUUUACCACAACAUUGAGGGACGAUAUUAUACUUAUUUUGCAGCUCAGCACAUUCUGGAACAGAGAAGUUAAAUUCUUAGUUGAAGUGAUGCAGAUUCUGAAUGAUGAGGCCAAGAUGUGGACCUAGAUAUUCAGACUCCAGAUUCAGAAAAUUCCCACAGAGGUAAAAUACUUUGGGAAGAUCUUUUAAGGACCUCACAGGAACAAUGGAGUCCAGCUCUAGUCUAUGAAAACUCUGCUUACAUGAGAACCUCCAGACACACAUUUUGUACAGGAGAGGAGUGAGGGACUGGAUGUUGUAAUGAACAGAAAGUGAUCAGAUUUUGUUACCAUUGACGUUUGGUGGAAAUAUAGAUGUCUAUAUUUAGUAUGUUCCAUUUUUGUGUAAGAUGACCAUGUAUGUGAAAGUUUCUUCAAGAAGUGAAUUAUUUUUCAAUAUAGAAUGAUUAAACAAUAUGCUUGCUUUGUAGCCUGGCACUAAAUUUUACCUGACUGUAAUUACUUCAAUCCAUUAUGAGCUUUUUGAGGUGUUAAUAAUCCUUGUGCCCAUCAUUUUAUUGUUUUCACUAUCACUUUCCUUCUGUUUUUACUUUUAGUUUAUAUCUUUUGUCUCUAUUUAAUUCAAAUCUCCGUUUAUAUCUGCUGUCUCUCUCAGAUCCUGUUGUCCUUCUAUACUUGUCUUCUUUAUCUUUCCCUUUGUUUCUGAGCAUUUCCCUUUCCCCAUUUUGGCUCUUU
Molecule: long non-coding RNA, 4265 nt
Filed under: Equus caballus (horse)
Lineage: Eukaryota; Metazoa; Chordata; Mammalia; Perissodactyla; Equidae
Description: lncRNA (ENSECAG00000041656.2)
Source: RNAcentral